RNAcentral lists this ribosomal RNA (547 nucleotides) under Exiguobacterium sp. MT118. Its description in RNAcentral is "bacterial SSU rRNA". It matches the Rfam family "Bacterial small subunit ribosomal RNA", at positions 8 to 526 of the family's 1533-position model. Lineage: Bacteria; Bacillati; Bacillota; Bacilli; Caryophanales. The record is from RNAcentral.
AGAGUUUGAUCCUGGCUCAGGACGAACGCUGGCGGCGUGCCUAAUACAUGCAAGUCGAGCGCAGGAAACCGUCUGAACCCUUCGGGAGGACGACGGCGGAAUGAGCGGCGGACGGGUGAGUAACACGUAAAGAACCUGCCCAUAGGUCUGGGAUAACCACGAGAAAUCGGGGCUAAUACCGGAUGUGUCAUCGGACCGCAUGGUCCGCUGAUGAAAGGCGCUUCGGCGUCGCCCAUGGAUGGCUUUGCGGUGCAUUAGCUAGUUGGUGGGGUAAUGGCCCACCAAGGCGACGAUGCAUAGCCGACCUGAGAGGGUGAUCGGCCACACUGGGACUGAGACACGGCCCAGACUCCUACGGGAGGCAGCAGUAGGGAAUCUUCCACAAUGGACGAAAGUCUGAUGGAGCAACGCCGCGUGAACGAUGAAGGCUUUCGGGUCGUAAAGUUCUGUUGUAAGGGAAGAAUAAGUGCCGCAGGCAAUGGCGGCACCUUGACGGUACCUUGCGAGAAAGCCACGGCUAACUACGUGCCAGCAGCCGCGGUAAUAC